GGGGUGGCGGGGCCCUGACUAAGUAAGAUGCUGGACUUUGGUGUUACUAGCCGGGAUGGGAAACACUGGAGGUUUUGAGCAGAGGAGUAACAUGAUCUGACUUUGAUUUUGAAAGAAUUCCUCUGGCUGCUAUUUUGAGAGUAGAUUGAAGCCGGUCAGGGAUGGAAGCAGAACAGUUAGAAUAAUUUAGGACAGAGAGGAUGGAGGCUCGGGCCAGCCUGUUAGCGGCAGAGGUGUGAUAAGUGCGCUGAUUCUGAACAUGCCUGGAAGAUAAGUCCACAGGAUUUGCUACCAGAGCAGAUGUAAGGGUUAAAACGUGAGGACUGAAAAUCGGCCACUGAAUUUACCAACAUGCAGAGAUCACUGGCGAUCUUGACAGAAGCAGAAAGGCUUAUCGAACUCUUAUGCUGCUGUGCAGCCAUCUCAGGCAGUAAAUGUCUCACCUCCUGGAGUAAAUGCCCUCUUUGCUCGUGACCGCCUCUUCCAGGCCAUUCUGCCAUCAGCUUCAGUCAGACUGUAGGCAGGACUUCAUUGAUUACCAGCCUUUACAGACCCCCAGUCUAAUAAAGAGACCACAAUGAUGCUUUGGGUCUUCAGGUAUCAUUUUCAACUCAGACAAGUUGACUGAUUCCCAUAUGAUCCAGCAAUUCUACUACUAAGUAUAUAUCCAAAAGAAAAGAAACCAAUAUGUCAAACAUACCUCUGCACUCCCAUGUGUACUGCAGCACUAUUCACAAUAGCCAAAAUAUAGAAUCAACCUACAUGUCCAUUAGCGGAUGAAUGG
Molecule: non-coding RNA, 784 nt
Organism: Microcebus murinus (gray mouse lemur)
Lineage: Eukaryota; Metazoa; Chordata; Mammalia; Primates; Cheirogaleidae
Source: RefSeq, a predicted model, not a curated record